UACGUAGGUGGCAAGCGUUGUCCGGAUUUAUUGGGUUUAAAGGGUGCGUAGGCGGUCUUAUAAGUCAGUGCUGAAAUAUCCCGGCUUAACCGGGAGGGUGGCAUUGAUACUGUAGGACUUGAGUGAGGUCGAGGUAGGCGGAAUUGACGGUGUAGCGGUGAAAUGCUUAGAUAUCGUCAAGAACACCAAUAGUGAAGACAGUUUACUAGACUUCAACUGACGCUGAGGCACGAAAGUGUGGGGAUCAAACAGG
RNAcentral lists this ribosomal RNA (253 nucleotides) under uncultured bacterium. RNAcentral describes it as "partial 16S ribosomal RNA". It matches the Rfam family "Bacterial small subunit ribosomal RNA", at positions 524 to 776 of the family's 1533-position model. The record is from RNAcentral.